GAUGAACGCUAGCGGCAGGCCUAACACAUGCAAGUCGAGGGGUAACAUAGGAAAGCUUGCUUUUCUGAUGACGACCGGCGCACGGGUGCGUAACGCGUAUACAACCUACCUUCUAGCGGGGAAUAACCCAGGGAAACUUGGAUUAAUGCCCCAUAGUAUAUAGACUUCUCCUGAAGUUUAUAUUAAACAUUUAUGGCUAUUAGAUGGGUAUGCGUCCUAUUAGUUAGUUGGUAAGGUAACGGCUUACCAAGGCAGCGAUAGGUAGGGGUCCUGAGAGGGAGAUCCCCACACUGGUACUGAGACACGGACCAGACUCCUACGGGAGGCAGCAGUGAGGAAUAUUGGACAAUGGGCGAGAGCCUGAUCCAGCCAUGCCGCGUGCAGGAAGACUGCCCUAUGGGUUGUAAACUGCUUUUACAGAGGAAGAACCACCCCCACGUGUGGGGGUUUGACGGUACUCUGCGAAUAAGGAUCGGCUAACUCCGUG
This 487-nucleotide ribosomal RNA is filed under the name uncultured bacterium. RNAcentral's name for it is "bacterial SSU rRNA". It matches the Rfam family "Bacterial small subunit ribosomal RNA", at positions 28 to 507 of the family's 1533-position model. The record is from RNAcentral.